AUCUCCGAUUAUGUUGUUUCUCUUCGCGUUGUUUCCUCACAAUGAAUUCACAGUCGCCGAAACAAUUUUCAUUAAGCGCGUUCACGUCCACUGUGCAGAGAGCGGCUAAUGCAGCAACAUUCAUCACGUUAGAACUCCGUUUUAUCGAGGAUAGGAGAAGAGGCAUUCGAGUGGAACGAUUUCAAUGGGUCAUCGAAUAUGCGCAUACACGCGGGACGUGUCAUUUCGCUGAAGUACCAUGCAAAAUACUUUCUUCUCUGGUACAGUCAAAACAUUAUUCCCCCUCUUCUAAUCGACGAAUAACGAUAUCUCGUAGCGAUACCAUCGGCAGAACAUCAUUGUCUUUCCGUGACGAUACAUUUUCAAUUUAUUGGUACGAGUAAACACGGCACGUUUCCUCCUCUAAUUUGAGUUGAACAGCGUUAACGAUAAAAACCGUCCAAGGGAGAUCGAAAGAAAUGAAAUUCUCAGAGAAUUUUAAAGUCGAGAAAGGCGAUGUCUUUGAAAACGGGCUUUGUUCCAAGGCGCUAUGGCUUUUCAUCGUGAAAAUAUCCGUCUUUGAAGAUCGUAAUGCGAUCGAUUAUCUAGGUGCUUAUGCGCCGAACACUGGAAAAAGGAAAAGAAAAGAAAUAAAGAAAAGAGAGAGAGAGAGAGAAAGAGAGAGAGAGAGAGAGAGAGAGAGACAGAGAGAGAGAGAGAGAGAGAGAGCGAUUUACCACAAGGAAGAACCAACCUUCCACACCAAUCGUUCGUAUCAAACUGGGUCAAGAUGUUCACCGAGACGAUUUUUUCUCCGUAUUCAGGAAUAAAGCGUGCCGAAACGUACAGUCAACGGAUUAUCCCUAUCUCACCACGUUUACCUAACUCAUGUCUUUCCUUACUCUAACCAUCGAA
Vespa mandarinia (Asian giant hornet) is the source of this 894-nucleotide long non-coding RNA. The record is from RefSeq and is a predicted model, not a curated record. Lineage: Eukaryota; Metazoa; Arthropoda; Insecta; Hymenoptera; Vespidae.